UACAGAGGUCCCAAGCGUUGUUCGGAUUCACUGGGCGUAAAGGGCUCGUAGGCGGCCAACUAAGUCAGACGUGAAAUCCCUCGGCUUAACCGGGGAACUGCGUCUGAUACUGGAUGGCUAGAGUUUGGGAGAGGGAUGCGGAAUUCCAGGUGUAGCGGUGAAAUGCGUAGAUAUCUGGAGGAACACCGGUGGCGAAGGCGGCAUCCUGGACCAACACUGACGCUGAGGAGCGAAAGCCAGGGGAGCAAACGGG
RNAcentral lists this ribosomal RNA (253 nucleotides) under uncultured bacterium. Its description in RNAcentral is "partial 16S ribosomal RNA". It matches the Rfam family "Bacterial small subunit ribosomal RNA", at positions 524 to 776 of the family's 1533-position model. The record is from RNAcentral.